Molecule: long non-coding RNA, 858 nt
Organism: Hylaeus volcanicus
Lineage: Eukaryota; Metazoa; Arthropoda; Insecta; Hymenoptera; Colletidae
Exons: 3
Source: RefSeq, a predicted model, not a curated record
UCGUGCAUCGUUCUUCGUGCAGUAUCCAGUGGUGUCCAGACGCGAGUAGGGAGUAGUACAAUCGAUUUCAACAUAACUUUGUCGAAACGAAACGUACCGAACCUUAUUAUACGUUGUAGGUGAAAAGUAACGAAUGUUGGUUGAUUCCAUGGAUCCCGUUUGCAGAGAGAGGAGAAGGAUGAGCAAGCGAAGACGUCUGCAGAGGUUAUCGAAUGUGUCAAUAAAGGGAGAAGAGAAGAAUGAGUGCUCGAAGACGUUUGCGGAGGUUAUCUGAUGGGAAAUGUCAAUCGAGGUUAGCUUAUGGCUCCUUGGAGUGGAGUCUUUUUUUUUUUGUUUUUUGUGCUCAAGAUUGUGCCUCGAAGCUUAUACGAGAGAAGAAACCUCUAUAGGAGUGCCUUUUGCUAGUACGAUCGCAAAACUCGUCUUGGACAACAAGUGGGUGUUUGCACCGAUCUUGAUUGUUUGGUGACGAGUGCAGUUGUUGGUACGUAGUGUCAGUGAGAUACAGUGUGCGUGCGAAUCAGAGUGUGGAACAUAUGAUACAUUGGUUAACGAACGAAAUUCCGACAAGUUUUUCUAUGCGAUUGGUGUAACUAUGUACGUUUAUUGUCUAGGUGCAAGUUAACCCUUUGCAUUCGAGGCCUCUCUUUUCUUUUUUCUCUUUUCUAGUAUGUAUCAACAACUGUAGAAUGGUUUCUUAGCUUUGUACAAUGUAAACACAAAGCCAUAUAUUAGCUUGGAAGUUGUACGAUUGCAAUUAAUUUAACAUUUAAUAAUCGAGUUUCCUUUACCUGUCAGAGAAUUAUACGAUCGAUGAUUGGAAUUACAUUGAAAUAAAAUAAAACCUUGUAAACAUUA